RNAcentral lists this ribosomal RNA (253 nucleotides) under uncultured bacterium. RNAcentral describes it as "partial 16S ribosomal RNA". It matches the Rfam family "Bacterial small subunit ribosomal RNA", at positions 524 to 776 of the family's 1533-position model. The record is from RNAcentral.
CACGUAGGGCGCGAGCGUUGUCCGGAAUUAUUGGGCGUAAAGAGCUCGUAGGCGGCUUGUCACGUCGGUUGUGAAAGCCCGGGGCUUAACCCCGGGUCUGCAGUCGAUACGGGCAGGCUAGAGUGUGGUAGGGGAGAUCGGAAUUCCUGGUGUAGCGGUGAAAUGCGCAGAUAUCAGGAGGAACACCGGUGGCGAAGGCGGAUCUCUGGGCCAUUACUGACGCUGAGGAGCGAAAGCGUGGGGAGCGAACAGG